AGCCUGGAAAUCAAAGAUAAUGUCGGGGCUCAUGGAAAUAAUCAUAGCUAUUAAUUAUGACUUAUAUCAUUAACUACAAUUAAUUACAUUGAUAACAGUAUUAAGCAUUUACUUUGUUCUAGGCCCUCUGAUCUAAGACUUUUUCCUAGAUUAUCUCAUGUGAUCCUCUCAAAACGUCUCUUAAAGCAAUGCAUUUAGCAUCCCAUUUUAUCAACAAGGCCAUGGGGACCCACAGAGGCAGCCCAGAUAGGAAGCUGUUCCAGCACUGAAAUCAGGCCAGGCUGGUGGCUCACACCUGUAAUCCCAGCACUUUGGGAGACAGAGUCAGGUGGAACAUUUGAUGUCAGGAGUUCAAGAACAGCCUGGCCAACAUGAUGAAACCCCUUCUCUACUAAAAGUAUAAAAAAUUAGCCAGGCGUGCUGGUGCAUGUCUCUAGUACAAGCUACUCAGGAGGCUGAGGCACAAGAAUCACUUGAACCUGGGAGGGGAAGGUGGCAGUGAGCUGAGAUUGUGCCAUUGCACUCCAGCCUGGGCAACAGAGCAAGACUCUCAAAAACAACAAAAAAAAGAAAUCAAUGAAUGUGUGACUUCCAAUUCCAAGCUGUGGCUGGAAGGGCUGACCUCACUCAUGUUUUCAAAAGUGAGUAUCUUUCCACUAGCCAGGUUAGAAUUGCUUCAGGCAAGCAAGAAAUUGGGGAAAGAGGAGUGGAAGCAGCCCUCUUCUCCUUGCCCCAGCCUGGGACUAUGGUGUGGCAGUGCAGGGCUCUCAGCCUAGAUCUUGGCCUGUGCAUUUGUGGCCACUUAGAAGCUGAAUUCUGGACUCUUCCUCCUCCCACAUUCUCGGGAGCAGAUCCAGUCUUUGAGAGAAUAACUUUCACCAUCAUUCCCAGAUCCCAAACCAAACAUGAAUUGUGAAAUAAUCAGCUUAAUUGUAGAGUCAGUAGGAGCACACACAUCCAACAUACACAUACACUACCCAUACACACAUCAGAGGCUCCACAGGUACCCUCUGUUGGCAAAGACCAGCCCAGGUCACUUUUAACUUACAUAUUUAUUUUGGAGAGACAGAGUCUCACUCUGUCCCCCAGACUGGAAUGCAGUGGUUUAAUCACAGCUCGCUGCAGUCUCAACCUCCUGAACUCAAGCAAUCCUUACACCACAGCCUCCCUACAAACUGGGAUUACAGGCAUGCCACCAUACCCAGCUAAUUUUUUUAAUUUUAAUUUUUUGCAGAGACAUGUUGAAAGAAAAACCUUAGCCAAAUUAAACUUAACACAGUUUAAUUGAGCAAAGAAUGCUUUGCGAAUCGGGCAGACUCCCAAGCCAGAGUAGCUCAGAGAGACUCCAGUGCAACCACGUAGUGGACGAUUUAUAGACAGGAAAAGAAAAGUAGCCGGGCGCUGUGGUUCACGCCUGUAAUCCCAGCACUUUGGGAGGCCGAGGCGGGUGGAGCACCUGAGGUUGAGAGUUAGAGGCCAACCUGACCAACAUGGAGAAACCUUAUCUUCACUAAAAAUAUGAAAAUUGGCCGGGCAUGGUGGCGUAUGCCUGUAAUCCCAGCUACUUAGGAGGCUGAGCCAGGCGAAUCCCUUGAACCCAGAAGUCAUGGGUUUUGGUGAGCCAAGAUUGCGUUGUUGCACUCCAGCCUGGGCAACAAGAGCGAGACUCCAUCUCAAAAAAAAAAAGAAAGAAAAGUAAUGAAUAGAAAACAGAAGUGAGGUACAGAAACAGUUGGGUUGGCUACAGCUUGGCAUUUGCCUUAUUUGAACACGGUUUGAACAGUUGGCCCCCUUUGAUUGGCCAGAACUCACUGAUUGGCACAAAGGCAGGUUAUAGUCGGUUUACACCUCCGUUUAGGUUGUAUGUAGUUCACUAUGAGAAAUCUUCAGGCUGAACUUAAAAUAGGUAAGGAGGGGCUGGGCACGGUGGCUCACGCCUAUAAUCUCAGCACUUUGGGAGGCUGAGGCGGGUGGAUCACCUGAGGUCAGGAGUUCAAGACCAGCCUGACCAAAUACAAAAAAUUAGCUGGGCAUGAUGGUGCGCGCCUGUAAUAGCAGCUACUUGGGAGGCUGAGGCAGGAGAAUUGCUUGAAUUUGGGAGGCAGAGGUUGCAGUGAGCUGAGAUAUGCCACUGUACUCCAGCCUGGGCAACAAGAGUAAAAUUCCAUUUCAAAAAAAAUAAAAAUAAUAAUAGUAAUUAAAUGUGGUAGCAGUUGUUCUCAAGGAUUUUCAUCUUGCAGCCUGUAUCCUUUCCUGUUGUUGCUGUCACCAGUUAUACUCACAAGCAGAGUGGUUUUACACAGCACAGAUCAUCUCACUGUUCUGGAGGUCAGAAGUCAGAAAUGGGUCAGCAGGGCUGCUUGUCCUUGUGGAGGGUAUAGGGGGGAGUCCAUGUCCUUUUCAGGCUUCUAGAGGCUGCCUGUGUUCCUUGGCUUGCAGCCCCUUCCUCUGUCUGCAAAGCCCCUUCCUCUGUCUGCAGCAGGGUGCACCUUCAGCCCUUCUCCUCCUCUCUCACACACACUUCUGCCCCCAUCAUCACAUCAUCGUCUUUGUCUCUGGUCCUCCUGCCUCCCUCUUAUAAGGACCUCAUGAUUAUACUGGGCCCAUUCAGGUAAUCCAGGACAACAUUUCUAUUUUAAAAUGCUUAGUGACAUCCGCCAAGUCCUUUUUUUCCCUAGAAGGUAGCAUAUCCACAGAUCUCAAAGAUUAAAAGAUGGGUAUCUUUAAGGACCGUCUAACCAUCCUGCCAGCUGCUUAAACUGCAGCAGGUGGCAGGUCAUGGUGGCAUGCACCUAUAGUUCCAGCUACUCAGGAGGCUGAGGUGGGAGGAUUGCUUGAGCCUAGGAGGUCAAGGCUAUAGUGUGGAGUGAUGGGGUCUGUGAAUAGCCAUUGCUCUUAAGCCAGGACAACACAGCAAGACCCCAUCUCAAAAAAAUAACUCCAGCAAAUAUCCUUCCAUUCCAUAUCACCCAUCAAAACAAACAAACAAAAAACUAAAAGAGCAUUAGGACAUGCAUGAUGCUAAAUCAGAAGGUAAAGCCAAAUUUUCCCCUUCUUCUGCCUUACCUGGUAAUAAAGCAGUGUUACAGGAGGGGCUGCUGGGAAAAGUCAAAGAGACUGGAAGAAGAGCAGGGAAAGAAGGACUAGGGCAGCUAGGAGAAGAGGGAAGGGCUUAGUGACAAUACGGGCCUCUCGACCAUGCCCAAAUACCUACCCAGUCUCCCUGCUACUUUCUGGACUUUCUAGGACUGGAACCCUGGUUCCUUCCCUUUUGAAUCAAGAGACCUCAGUGUCCCUGAUAGACUUACAGGUCAGCACUUCCUCUUCCCAGCCCCCAGCAUUGCCUUACAAUCCUGCCUGUAGGCCACCUGGGAAAGACGAAGAAAUAGAAACUGCACUAAAAGGCUAGACCCUUGCCUGUUGAGAUUUCUGCUGAUUACCUUUGGAACUUUUCUGAAAUCCCAGCCUCAAGGCUGUGAAUUCUGUUUGUGGGUGUGAUAGUCUGCUAGGGCUGCCAUAACAAAGUACCAUAGAUGGGGUGCCUUAAACAAUGGAGCUUAUUUCCUGACAGUUCUGGAAGCUGGAAACCCAAGAUCAAGUAUCAGCAAGGUGGCUUCUUCUGAGGCCUCUCUCCUUGGCUUGCAGAUGGCCGGCCUCUCUCCUUGGCUUGCAGGUGGCCGGCCUCUCUCCUUGGCUUGCAGGUGGCCGGCCUCUCUGUCCUCACUGGGUCUGUGUAUGUAGAUCCUGCCGUCUGUCUUCUUAGAAGGACUCCUGUCAUAUUGGAUUAUGACCCUAAUGACCCAAUUUUAACUUAAUCAUCUCUUUAAAGAUGCUGUCUCUCAAGACAGUUACAGUCUGAGAGUUAGGACUUCAACAGAUGCAUUUGUUGGGGUAUGGGGACACAAGUGGCCCAUAGCAUUGGGCUAAGACCCUGGGAGAUUAAGAAAGAUCACUCCAUUCUUCCCAGCUGUCACAGGUGGACUAGGCCCACUGAGGACAGAUGCUGGGAGAGGGGGGCCAAGCUGUUAACUUUAAAAGUGUACCCCACAACCCGGAACUGCCUUUGCAUAGCUAUGUUGGGUUAAGGUUGGGAAAAAGCCAGAAAAGGUCAAAGCCGCCAAAAGCCCAGGCUUAGUCUGUGUAAGGAAACACCAGCAUUUAUGGCUCACAGUCACCAGUGCCAACUCCCUGCAGGUUAUUUAUUUGAUGCGCAAUUCACAGCUAGUCCCUCAGAUUCCACACACAGCUAGUCCCCCAAGUCCAUACACACCCCGGACACAGAGGAAAUCAAGGGGCAGCUAGCGAGUGUUUGUGUCGGAUGUUCUUUGAAAGGGCUGUUUGAUAGAUAUGAUUUCAUUCCCAAGGCAUGGCUCUGAUGCAGAAGUCAAACAGCCUGCAAGUUGAAACAAACCAAAUAGCCUUAUCUUAUUCUUGAUUCAUGGGUUCCUCUGUCUUCAAAGCCCCUUAAAGGCCAUUCUCUGCAAAUUGUAACUUGUUAAAGUAAUUGCUGCUGCAAAGUCCUUCCUGGGACAGGUUGUCUUUGUCUUACAGGAUCUGAAUUCGCUGACAUUUUUUCUUGACAAACGUUUGCUAGACUCUGGUCAAACUCACAAGCCAACAUAGGUUUAAAUAAAGGCAUAAAUUAUUUAAUUGCACUUUUCUUUUUUUUUGAGACAGUUUCAUUUUUGUCACCCAGGUUGGAUUCAAUGGCGCAAUCUUGGCCCACUGUAACCUCCACCUUCCAGGUUCAAGCAAUUCUCCUACCUCAACCUCCUGAGUAGAUGGGAUUACAGGCGCCCACCACCACACUCAGCAA
Non-coding RNA from Callithrix jacchus (white-tufted-ear marmoset), 4816 nucleotides. NCBI's taxonomy places the organism in Eukaryota, Metazoa, Chordata, Mammalia, Primates, Cebidae. The record is from RefSeq and is a predicted model, not a curated record.